GACAAUUGACUGAGAAAAAAGUACAUACUUGUGUGGUUUUGGAUUGAUCUUGAUGAUUAUUAUCAUGUCCAAAUUCCCCACUGCAGUGACUGUGUAGGUAGACAAGAAAGCUCAGGAAGAGUGGAAUCAGGAGCUCUGGAUAUUCUGAAAAACCCAGGAGAGGAUGCAGAUCAGUGGGUUCAUCAUGGGAAUGACUACUGUGUAGAAGAUGGAGGCAACCUUGACCACGAGCCAUGAACUUUUGGAGUUAGGAACACAGUAGAAAAAUAGGAUGCUCCCAUGGAAAAUGGUAAUGGUGGUUAGGUGGGAGGCACAUGUGGAGAAGGUUUUGUG
This 333-nucleotide long non-coding RNA is filed under the name Equus caballus (horse). Its description in RNAcentral is "lncRNA (ENSECAG00000060208.1)". The record is from RNAcentral. Lineage: Eukaryota; Metazoa; Chordata; Mammalia; Perissodactyla; Equidae.